Molecule: signal recognition particle RNA, 239 nt
Filed under: Nicotiana tabacum (common tobacco)
Lineage: Eukaryota; Viridiplantae; Streptophyta; Magnoliopsida; Solanales; Solanaceae
Description: Plant signal recognition particle RNA
Rfam family: Plant signal recognition particle RNA
Source: Rfam by way of RNAcentral
AUUAUUCUAUGUCUCAGCGGACAGGGAUUGGUUGGCUGAUAUUUGGCCUCCCUGUCCAACCACAGAGUUAAGUCAGGUGGCCCAAGUGAAGACAUGGGCUACUGGACACCUAAAGUUGGGCGGACUAGCGUGAGGCUGGUUUCACAGAGCAAUGAAUGGUCCCCGCUCUGUGCAGUGGAAGGAUAACGGGCUGGUGUCUUCCAAGCCCAACAAAUGCCUGAUGGUCUGCUCAAAUUAAA